GGGUACGAUCAUACCAGCACUAAUGCACCGGAUCCCAUCCGUACUUCGAAGUUAAGCGUGCUUGGGUGAGAAUAGUACUAAGAUGGGCUUUGUCACAGGACUUCCACAUACAGAGGCAA
RNAcentral lists this ribosomal RNA (119 nucleotides) under Cephalotus follicularis. Lineage: Eukaryota; Viridiplantae; Streptophyta; Magnoliopsida; Oxalidales; Cephalotaceae. The record is from RNAcentral.